RNAcentral lists this small RNA (168 nucleotides) under Arabidopsis thaliana (thale cress). Its description in RNAcentral is "ATSL240230". Lineage: Eukaryota; Viridiplantae; Streptophyta; Magnoliopsida; Brassicales; Brassicaceae. The record is from RNAcentral.
AAAUGAUAUUAAUUUAGAAUGACAUGUGACACUCAUUGAUGUGAUGAUGUGUUACUCAUAUGGAGAGAAUUGACCAAUUUUCAUAUAUAUAUAUAUAUAUAUAUAUAUAUAUAUGAUUUGACGUUACGGAAAACUAUAUAAUGUAUGCGGGGCUUGAAUAUAUUGAAA